RNAcentral lists this non-coding RNA (24 nucleotides) under Cricetulus griseus (Chinese hamster). Lineage: Eukaryota; Metazoa; Chordata; Mammalia; Rodentia; Cricetidae. The record is from RNAcentral.
CCGCUGCGGGGUCGCACGCGCCUC